Long non-coding RNA from Orcinus orca (killer whale), 7403 nucleotides. RefSeq lists it as uncharacterized. The transcript is spliced from 3 exons. Lineage: Eukaryota; Metazoa; Chordata; Mammalia; Artiodactyla; Delphinidae. The record is from RefSeq and is a predicted model, not a curated record.
UACAUUUUAAUCUGAAUAAUUCUUCAGGGUUUAAAAUUAAUUGGCUCUGGCUUGGUUGGACCGGACUCCGAUCUCGCCACCUCUGCGUUUCCUGAGUCACUGCCGGAGAGGUGAUGAUUUUUUUUUUUUUUUUUCUGAACUGGGUUUAUGCGCGUCCCCCUCACCCCCUCCUCUCUUUUUUCUUUCUCUGUCUCUGUCGUCUCUCUCGCUGGCUUUUUAAAAAUGAGGAACCGUUCCUUGAACGUUCUGGACAGAGCACAGAAUUGCUUAAGUCAGCCCGACACGGUUGUAAUAGACAGCAAAAAGGUAAACGUUUGCCUGAAAUCCGCACGCCAGCACCACUACCCCGCCCGAUGGGAUAACCGGUUUCUAAAACAUUGUGGAAUUCAAGGCUCCAUAAUGGAAUCAAGAAGUCAUGAACGGCUCCCUUGGAAGGAAGCUUGGAGGACACUGGUCCAACUUCCCACUGAAGCCAGAGGUCUGGAAAUGGGCAGACGGUCAGGCAGACACCGAUUCAGCAUUUUCAAGAGUUGUAAAUUCAAGGCAGGUACCCCUGCAGCAAUUACCUACUAGAAGCGGAGGAAGAGGCGGUCUGUGAGCGCAGUGGCCACCGGUAGGUAAUAGGAUCCGUGGUUGUUGUGGGUGUAAAGUGCUAACACUUUUUUUCUGUACGCGAGCCUCCCACUGUUGUGGCCUCUCCCGUUGCGGAGCACAGUCUCCGGACGCGCAGGCUCAGCGGCCAUGGCUCACGGGCCCAGGCGCUCCGCUGCAUGUGGGAUCUUCCGGGACCGGGGCACGUGUCCCCCGCGUCGGCAGGCGGACUCUCAACCACUGCGCCACCAGGGCAGCCCUGCUAACACUUUUGACAGCCACCAUCCUAAAGGGGUGUAGCAAGUCAUUGGAAAUUUGUACACAGACUGCCCCAUCCAUUACGCAUCACCCGUAUCAUACCCAUAAUCUACCAAGGCAGAGAUGCUAUUACACUCAGCGGGCCAAGGGCUGCCCGAGUUUAUAUACACACAACUCCCACUGACUCUGUGCUACCGAUGUACUUCAGUGCGAGUUGUCAGCAGCAUAAAUUUAGCUCAGUACAGUCACAACCACAGCAGGCGCAGCCAGAGAUGUGGCUGUGUGUUAAAAAGGCUGAGGAAGAACAAAAAAGCUGUCCGUUUUCACAAGAAAUCUUACCCCUAGAGCAUGAAGAACUGUAGCCUGCCACCUGCCACACCACCCUCAUCCCACAGCCUGCGGAUCCCAGCCUGGGACUUGGAAGCAGCCGAAACAGAGAGAUCAGGAAAAAAAAAAAAAAAAAAAAAGGCCUAUUACAGGGCAUAAAACUGUGCUCUGCAUCCAACCUGAUUAUGUGAGGGAAAAAUUCCCCAUACAUAGAUGAUCCUCAGAACAUUUAUUUAUCAAAAUUUCGAGGAACAUCUUGGAACCAGUGACCCUCUUUAAAUAGAGAAUAUUUAAAAUAGGUACAACAAAGGUACAUAGAUGCCCACCUCUUGAAAGCCACUAGUCUGAGUCAGACGGUGUCAUGGGUGUUAUAUUUUAUUUUUAGUCCUUUCAUAACGUUUUUGCCAUGUUAUCUAAUGUAAUUCUUUGGGAGGUCUUUCUUGGCUUUUCAGACAACCCCAAGUCAUACCUUAUAAGUGAUCAGGUGUCAUUGACCUCAAGCCCAGCCUGCAAUAAACUCCAGGGUUUAAUCUGUAUUCUGAGCCCUUGCCACUGCAGACAAUGAAGUCUAUUCAUAAUAAGUGAAAGUGCCAUAGUUUGGCGAGCAGGGCCUGGGUGCCAAUCCAUGCUUCAUAUCACCCUAAUUGUGUGUCUUAGACAUGUUGCUUAACAUCUCUAAGCCCCAAUUUUCUCAUCUGUAUCCUGAGGUUAACAAGUUCUUCUUCACUGUGAUGCUGUGCAGACAAUACCAGAAAAGAUGUGUGAAACACUUAGCACAACAUAAAAGCUCCAUCGAAUGGAUGGAUGCACAUGUCAUACUGUAUGGUACAUAGUAGGCACUCAAGAAAAGCUUCCUCCUCCUUCUUUUUCCUCUCUUCUUACCCAAGACAGCCUAACAAGUUACUGCUCAUGCAAACCUAGGUCUAUUAAGAAAAAUAUGGCGUUUAAAGAAAAUAAAUAUUAUCCCAUGUGUGACAAAUGGCCACACAUGUGACAGAGCACAUUUAAAGCUAUUCUCAUCCUUUGAUAGUUGUUACAGAACAGAUAAGAAUAAUCCAUUCAAAAGGAAAAUCAAACACUAAAGAGUAAGCAAGGAACCAAAUUAGACAUUUAGUCAAGUCUGAUUAAUGGCUACUUCCAAUGGUGAUUUGAACUGAGUUCAGGAUCCCUGCCUGUCUGACUGUUAAUGUACAGUGGUGAGGGGUGACCAUAUUAAGAAGUGGAAUGCAUAGUUCAUUCAAAGUUCACAUAGAUUGUCUUAGUUUGUGAAAGACCAAACUCAGGUGCAAUUCUGGUAAUGCAACAAAACUAGUAUGUUUCAUGAUAAUAAGUUUAGGUAUAGAAAACUAUCUUUCUUCUGGAUAAAUUUAGCUUCCUUGCCAUUUCUUCAUUUUUUUUUUCAGUUUUUUCAAUAUGAGGACCCUAGUUUAUAGUAGAAUUAAUCAUGUUAAUCAUGUGUUAAAAAAUUAUAUCACUCUAAAAGACUUCCAGUCAUUCUAAAAAGGGUAGUCUAGGUCACAUUUAAAAAAGAAGGCGUUCUUGAACAGGAAAAAGUGCAAUAGGUAAAUUUGAAAAGUAUGAGUAAUUAAGUAAAGAUUCAAACAUUUCUUUUUAUAUGUUUUCUGAUAUAAAUAUGUUGCUCUAUCAUUGUUAAGUAACUCCCAUUGGCACAUUUAACUCUGAACGCUCUGAUGGGAGAUGCGAUAUUAUGUUUAUUAGAAGAAAAUAGCAACUGAAGUUUAAUAAAUUUGGAAAGAGUACAUGCAAAUUUGUGUGUGUGUAGGAAUUGACUUUUUUCAGUUGACAAAGGAAUCUUGUCUGGUUUGAAAUUGCAGUUAGAAAAUGUUGAAAGUAAAAACAAAAAUUGAAUUUGUACCAAAUUCAGGGGCUUUGAAGAGCUGAUGUGUAAAAAUUUGGUAGUGGUGAUGACCAUGCAGCCACUUCUAUUUGUGUAAUAAAAUCAGAAAAAAUACAACAAGAUUUACUCUAAAUAUAAGCUAAGGUCAUAAAUCAAGCUCUAAAAAAGAAAAUAAAAUGGGUGUACAUACAUCCAAAUAUACAUGAUAAAUUCUUUAAAUUCUUUUUGUCUCAUCAAAGAUAAUAGAAAAAAUAAUAAUAAAAUUAAGCUGACUUCUGCCUUCCAGCUCUCUUCCUCUUGUGUAGAGUUGAUCGUAGUAGUGGCCUCUUAAAUCUGGCUAAUUCUGUGGUCAGUGAAUAUUGUUUAACAAAAAUUCUUUUUCAGAAACAAGGUCCUUCCCCUGCUCAUCCACAUUUGCCUCAAUUUGACUUAUCCCCCCACCUCCCAGGCAUGUCAGAUCAGAGAAUCAUAUCAACCCACGUCAAAUCGAUUUAGGACACGAAAUCUUUCCUCACAAAUGAAAUUCCCUAUGAAAACUUAACAGGACCAACAAAUACAUCAGAAAAGUGUUACGGUAAAAGUGCCAGAAGUCGAGCUAAAAUGAAGGCCAAAUCUUUGAGAUCAGGGAGAAGGGGAAAAGGGUCAGACAGAAAGAGAUGUGAAAGGAAAAGCAGGGCAGGAGGAGAGACAAGAAGGAGAGAAGGGACCCAAAUUAGAACAAGAGGCGAUGUUUAUUAAUAACCUUGCUGACCCACGGGCCCCUGACCCAAAAUACAUUAAGUAUUGUUGGGACACUGCUCUGUCAGUCACAGGAGGAGCAUGUAAAAUGGUGUUGGAAGCUGCAAACUUUCCGAGAACUGACAAAAAAGAGCAAAAAAAAGCCAGGAUAAGGUAAAGGCAUAGACUCACGGGGUUGAGAAGUUCCCUUUAUACUCCUGCAGCAUUCUCUCUGGACAGCCUACCUCACAGUUCCACGCUUCCAGCCAGCUAGGAUUUAAAACACACAUGAAACAAUGUUUUUCUUGAUUGCAAAAAUAAUACACGUUCAUCGCAGAACAUUUGGAAAUUAUGGAAAAGCACAAAGAAGUCAAUACAAAUUGCUAGUCCCACCGCUUGUAUAUAAUCAUUGUCAACGUGUUGAUAUGUAUUUUCUCAUCUUUUUCCUCUCCUUUUUUACACGCAUAUAUUUGUAUGUUGGAAAAGUAAGACUGACGCCUUGCUGUCAUCCACUAUUUUGGAAUCCGGUUUUCCCAUCUGACAAGUCCUUAUAUAUAUUUGCUCAUGUUGUUAAAACUAUUAUAAAACAUGAUUUUUAUGUUGGCAUCAUAUUUCCUUAUUUGAAGGUAUCAUAAUUCAUUUGACCUCUAGUUAGAUAUUCAUGUAACUUUUUGCCUUUUUAAAAUGUUUGUGUGCAUCUCUGUUCCCUCUGGAAAUUACUGUGAGUGAAAUUCCUGGGUCAAAGUCUUUUUGGGGCUAAAAUUUGCAGAGUUGCCCUCCAAAGUAUUUAUGCCAGUUUAUAUUCCCACCUGCAGUGAGUGAGAAUACAGAAUUCACAAACCAUCAUUAAUUCUUUCCAAACUAAGAAACUUAGAACCUACUGUGAUUCGUAUUUUCUUGAUUGUGAUUCUAGCUUCUUCAUGUUUCUUGGCUGUCUUGUGUGUAUGUUAUUUGUCUGUUAUUCUAAUUUCUAUUUAUUUAAAAUUGUAGAAGUUCUAUUCAAUUUUUCAAUUGUGUUAGUUCUUUGCAUAUAAAGUUGUAAAAGUUCUUUGCCUAUUAAAUUUGUUAACCCUUUCACUAUUGCCCAUUGCAAGCAUUUCUUCAUUUUGUCACUUAAGUUUUAAUUGUGAAUGGAUUUUUAAUGUAUAUGUUUAUGAAUUUAAAUACAUAAUUAUUUUCAUUUAGUCUUUCUUCCUCUACUUUUAUGUUCAGAAAGGCACAUCCCAGGGUCAGAGAAAUGUUAACCUAUAUUUUCCACUAGUGCUUUUGUGGCUCUUUUUAAAGGAUUUAAAUCUGUCACAUAUUUGGUCUGUGUGGUAAGAAUCUAUUUCCUCCUGAUCUAAAUGUUGUAUGCUAUUGGGCUUAUUUCUGUAUUUUAAAAUUUUAUUCAUUAUCUUUCUGUCUUCAUCACUUUUUUUUGCCAAAACCCUCCAUUUUUAUUAUCACAAUUUAAGAAUAUGCUUUCAUAUCCAGUAAUGCAAAGUUUUUUUUUUUUUUCUCAUUACAAUUAGUUUUCUGGGUUAUGCCUCCUUAUUUGUUAUCCCAUAAGAACUCAUCAAGUUCAAAAUGUAAGAAAAGACAAUUGAUACAUUACUGUGUGAGGAUUUGAGGUCUUUAAUACUGAGUUUUCUCAUUUAGAAGUAAAGCAUGCCUUCUAAUUUAUUUUUUCACGUGAACUAUUAAAUUUGUAGUUUCUUCAUGUAUUUUUCAAUGUGCAUGGUGUCAAAUUUAUUCAUUGCUAUUGUGAAUACAGUUUCCCUAUUAAAUCUUAUAACUGUUUUCUGAGGAAAGUGAUUUUUAUUUUGUAGUUUUGCUUUUUUAUUUUGUAUUUUCCCACUUUACUGGUUUCUUAUUCAAAGAGUUUGCCAGUGGAUUCUUUUGAGCCAUCUAAUUAAAUCUUAUCAUCUGUAGAAAAUGAUACUUUUGUCCCUUUCCUUCAAAUUAUAUAAUUUCUUCAUUUUUUCCCUGUCUUAUUACCAAAGAGUAAACUUCCACAUUAUUUAAAAUAUUCUUUAUUCGGAAUGACUCCAGUAUUUUACUACCACGUGUGGUGGCCUGAAAACAACGUAGUUUUGCAGGACUGCAGCUUUUAGAAUGUGUUCAAAGCUUCAAAUUUCAAUCUCCCUUCCUGAACCUCUGUUUACUGGUUCCCUUGUAUACCUCCCAGCCCCUCUCUGCCCAGUAUUGAACAAGUCAUCCCCUUUUAAUACACGAGUGGUCUAUCUCCAUACAGACAACCCCAUCUCUUACCUACCGACGCUUCUUUUCUAGUUGAAACACCCACAUUUCGCUGUGGUAAAGCUCACCUUCAAUUCUGAGACCAACACAUUUAAACCACUAUUGUUUUACUUAGUGUAUCCCACGAAACCACCGGGUUAUUUUCUGCCAAAUUAAAAGUUAGAGUCUUGUGUAAGAUUUUUUUUUUUAAGUUUGCAUUUUAAGAAAAUGCUAAACUAUUUUUCUCACAUAGAAAUUAUCAUUUCAUUUGAAUUUGCUGACUUUUUGCCAGUGAAAAGUAAAAAUAACCUGGGAUUUUGCAUAUGCCAUGCAAAAAAGGAUUGGCUCCAUGGGUUCAGCUGGUUAGAACAAUAUGUGAAGACAGAGUGAGGAAAAGAGUAACAGCAACAGUUAGGGAUCCUGCCGGGGUUACCUAUGGGAAGGAAGAAGGGUGAGUGUCUACAAGGUGGGAAAUGGAACUAGUCUCUGGAUCACACUGACCCUUCAUUUCUUCAACUCUGAUUGUGGAUCAUUACCUGCCUUGCAAGCAAAAUACAGGAAUGAGAGACAACAUGUGUAAGGCAUAUUGGAGGACACUUGGCAACUAGCAGGCACUCACAAAGAUGAACUGUUAGCUUCCGGCUAGGUUUGCAGGUAGGGAUAUGGGCCAUGUUAUAGGUAACAAAAUGGAAAGAAGAGACCCUUCUCUACUAUAAAUUUCUACAUAGAGUUAACCCCGAGCACGCUCAAGGAUUUUAGGAUUUAGCCAACAGGCAGUGCUGUACCUGGGGCGGGUGCGUGUGUGUGUGUGUGCAGUUCUAAACUACACAUCUCCAUGAACACCUCCCAAGGAGAUAGAAACUCUUACUCCUCUGUGUGGCGUGGCCUUUGCUGUGAAUGCCAAGUAUCAUUGGAACCGACUUUUCGUCCUACCGUGACGGACCAUGAGCUCCAAAUGUUUAGAUUUCCUCUUCUGCUGAAGGAGACCGGAAGGGCUCCUCAUUUUGAUAUUACAGUAAAUAGUCCUUGUGGCCAUGUGCCUGGCAUUUAAGAACUUCCUUGUCAGCACGUCUUCAUUUUUCCAAUUUGUUAGCCUGGAUAACACGCUUAUUAGUAUCAAACUUAAGUCUUACCAAGGCAGAGUGAAAAUUUCCUUCUAUCUUUCCCAAAGUGAAGCUAGAGAUCUAAUUUUUUUUUUUUUAACGUGGUGGGAGGUUUCUGUAUUAUUAUUGUUUAAAAUCAAUUUCCUUUACUCCAUAUUCUUUUCCUGUUGUUUAUUUUAUCUGUCCUUCUCUCCCAGAGGGGCAGCAUUAAAGCCCCCAUUUGGUUUUUAUUAGUGUAAUCUGUUAAUAGCUGUUCUAUAAUGCUUUACUUAUUGUGUUAAUUUUCUGUACUUAUGUCCAGAGGCAGCUUCCUGGAAGACCAUAUUAAAAAA